Molecule: long non-coding RNA, 534 nt
Filed under: Homo sapiens (human)
Lineage: Eukaryota; Metazoa; Chordata; Mammalia; Primates; Hominidae
Description: HSALNT0337709
Source: RNAcentral
GGUUCUGGCAGCCCAGGUGAACAAUGCAUUCUGGCUGUUUUUGUUCUUUCCUGUGAUAGCAGGAUGUCUAACUUCACAGUUAAAAAGCCCGAUAAAUCUGUUUAGGAGCUGCCUGGUAUGUCGAUGUGUACACAUGCUCUCAGCCACAGCGGAACCCCCCCUUCCUCUUCUCCCAUUUAUCUGCCCCAGUCUCUCUGAGGAUGCUAUGAAGGCUGUCUGGACGUGGCUCAGAAAACUGCUGUGAAGACCGCAGGGAGCACAGGACGGCCGAGUCCCCAGCGCUGCCUGUGCCAGGCCUGGCCCACCUGCUGCUGGCACUAGGGACUCAGCACUUUGCGGAAGCUUGGGUAUGACAGCCCUCAGUCGACGUCCCCACUGGCUAAUUUCCACACUCUGAACCAGACCCCUCUCCCUGGGAGCGAGGAGUGAACCACAGCAAUGCCCGAGACAGAUGCUUCCACCUUGAUGUUGGAAUUCUCAGCCUCCAGAACCCAGCAGGAGAGAAAGUGCAGAACGAAGGGGAGGCAAAAGCCC